UAGAAAUUAAUACCAAAAAAUACCUCAUAUCAUUUUGCCUCUUGUGAUGGAAUCUGAAGUCAUGGAAGUCAUUCGUUUGCUUUCAGAAUUGGUGAAUUGUACUGGCAACACAUUUGGAUUUUUUUUUUUUUCUCAUCCCCCAUUAUUUUAUGAUUACUAUGGACACAGGCUAUUCCAGGAGCUCGAAUGGUGAAGUUCAAUACAAGAGAAUUCAAAAUCUCUCUUUCUGAAUGUCCCAGACAGAAUAACCCCUUUGCACAAAUGAAAAGGGAGGAAAUGCAUAUGAUUUCCUAGCAGACAUGGGGUGAAAGGAGAAACAAAGCAGAAUCAGCAUGCAAGCAGAUCCUUGAUUUUUUCAAGUCAUGAAGUAACAUGUUUCUGUGAUAUUACGUAAUGAUAGUGUCAAACUGUAAGAUCUGAGGUAUGUUUAUGCCAACACAUGUACUCAUAAGUUACAUUCCUUUCUAAAAUAAAGUUGUUAUAGUUCACCUUG
Molecule: long non-coding RNA, 493 nt
Organism: Cygnus olor (mute swan)
Lineage: Eukaryota; Metazoa; Chordata; Aves; Anseriformes; Anatidae
Exons: 2
Source: RefSeq, a predicted model, not a curated record